CUGUUGCCUCGGCGGGAUCUCUGCCCCGGGUGCGUCGCAGCCCCGGACCAAGGCGCCCGCCGGAGGACCAACCAAAACUCUUAUUGUAUACCCCCUCGCGGGUUUUUUACUAUCUGAGCCAUCUCGGCGCCCCUCGUGGGCGUUUCGAAAAUGAAUCAAAACUUUCAACAACGGAUCUCUUGGUUCUGGCAUCGAUGAAGAACGCAGCGAAAUGCGAUAAGUAAUGUGAAUUGCAGAAUUCAGUGAAUCAUCGAAUCUUUGAACGCACAUUGCGCCCGCCAGUAUUCUGGCGGGCAUGCCUGUCCGAGCGUCAUUUCAACCCUCGAACCCCUCCGGGGGGUCGGCGUUGGGGAUCGGCCCUUUACGGGGCCGGCCCCGAAAUACAGUGGCGGUCUCGCCGCAGCCUCUCCUGCGCAGUAGUUUGCACACUCGCAUCGGGAGCGCGGCGCGUCCACAGCCGUUAAACACCCCAAACUUCUGAAAUGUUGACCUCGGAUCAGGUAGGAAUACCCGCUGAACUUAAGCAUAUCAAUAAGCGGA
RNAcentral lists this ribosomal RNA (540 nucleotides) under Trichoderma virens. RNAcentral describes it as "eukaryotic LSU rRNA". The stretch from base 160 to 313 matches the Rfam family "5.8S ribosomal RNA". Lineage: Eukaryota; Fungi; Ascomycota; Sordariomycetes; Hypocreales; Hypocreaceae. The record is from RNAcentral.